GGCUGCGACCUUAGCAUUAAGUAGAGAGAAAAUGAAACCAGAAGAACGGAAAUGAGCCCAAGAAUUUUAGAGGGAAAAAUCUGAGAGUAGUAGACGGAGAAAGAGAUGAAUCGUCGUUGAUGAUCGAUGUUGAAGGUGAAACAUUCUGCUAAGAAAGCUCCACAUCGAUUGUGGAGUCAAUGAGCACCAGAGAUCUGCCCGCGGGGACAAUGUAGGGAUUUGUAGUCGUUGAUUCAUUGGCGGCCGAUCGGAUGGAUAGCGGCGGCGUGAAUUUCAAUUUCUGGAUCUAAGGCAACACAUAGGAGCUUAGGUGUUAAGUGGAAGCUGGGGUGUCAGUAGCCGAACGCUGGAGCAGAAUGCAUGGUUUGAAUUUCUAUUCCCCACUAAAUCUGCAAUUAGUUUCUGUUUACUACUUGCUAUUUGAUAUUUGAUUUAUAGUUAUUAACUGCUUAACUCAUUGUGUUCUUUUGCUAGUCUAGUUUUUUGAUUCUUUUGUAUAGGGGAAGUUUCAAUCUAUUAAACAUAUUGUCGUUUUGGAAAAUAUGAGAAUACAAUGAGCUAACCAAUCCUCAUUUCUUCAACUCUAUCUCCAUUCUACUAUUUUUUCUCACAAAUUCUCUUCUGCAAUCUCUGCUACUUACUCCCUUUUUCUUCCUAAGUUACAUCUGUGCAGAUUCAUGACUCUAGGAACCUGAUAUUUUGGUGUUAUAGCUAUUCAAACCUCGGCAACUAGGAUUUCUUCUUCUUCAUUUUCUUUCUCUCAUCAACAUCAUGUUUCUCUCAAAAUCUCUCUUCCUUCUUAUGUGAUUUAUUCCUAUUUUGUUUGCUUCUCUCCUCUCUCUAGAAUUCUGUCUGUAAAUGCCACGGGAACAAGCCAUAUAGUGACUUAGCAAAUUGAGGGCUCCACGGGCGUGGAAAGCUCAGAAAUAAGAUGUAUUUCAUUAUUUGAAAUUAGAAAAGUUUUACAAUUUUCUCGCUCCUACCUCUUGCAAAAUGCAAAUUUCCUAACUCUUAAAGGAGUUAGGAGAUUGACGGAGCAGGACCUAGGAUUAGAACAAUAUGCACUGGAUGUGCAUAAAAAAUUUUUGUUGAGGAAUGUGUUACACAAUAGGUUAUGAUGACAAUAAUUAUGUUAGUGAGGACAAAUUUUGAAUCUGAUUUGAAAGGUGAAACGUAGUUUUUUGUAAAGUAUGGAUGUUUGAUAACUUUAAUGGAACUGAAGUAGAAAAAGGGUUAUAUCAUAUCGAACUGGUUGGGAAUAGAUGUGAUUCAAUGAAUGACAACCGGUGUUUGUUAAAAUUUCUCAACCAAAAGGUUAGGCUGAGAAUCAUAUUGAAAUGACAAUUUUAGAAGCUGUUACUUCCAAGAAUUUACUAGAAUUCCUUUACAAGAGUGUACCCUUAGUGAUGUUUGGAUGCAUGUGAAACAUCAUUCAUAUAAGCAAUUGAUGCUCGUCUUCUGCCAAACUGUUGAACAGUGGAAGUGCACUAGCAUCUGAGUUUGAUGUGCUCAACAACAGGCCACCAAAAGACUCAUAUAUGAUUGAUGAUGCAAGUGUUCUUGGUAGACUUAUGUCAAACCCAAUAAAUUACAACCAGGAAAGAAGAAGUCAGUUAAGUUAGUUAAGGAAAGAAUACACCAUAGUAAGAUAUAUUUUCUUUUUGUCCCUUUAAUUUAGUUAUUCUACAUUGUUGUUUCCAGAUGCAAGGUGGUUACUGCCUGUGUGCCGUUAGGACCACUCUGCCGUGCAGAACUAGGGUUGCAUGUACUACAUAUCACCGACCAAUGGCUAGAAAUAAGCCAUCUCUGUUGUAAAGAAUUAUGAAUCCAUAAAAACAUUUUCACUA
Long non-coding RNA from Carica papaya (papaya), 1847 nucleotides. RefSeq lists it as uncharacterized. The record is from RefSeq and is a predicted model, not a curated record. NCBI's taxonomy places the organism in Eukaryota, Viridiplantae, Streptophyta, Magnoliopsida, Brassicales, Caricaceae.